UCAAAUGAUUAUGUUAAGCCACCUAUAAACAUCAAAGUGAAAUGCUGGCUAGAGGCAGCAGCGCAGCACUACUGUUUGGAACUUUGAUUAUGUGGUGCUGCUGGAGGUGAUCAGAGCUGCAGACCACCCCAACUGGAUGCUUUCACUCCCUGCAACACAAUCGAGUAAAGAGGAGUAGUACUCAUCAAUACACACAUACAAAACAUAUUUUUUUCUAGAUAAAAGAACAGUGAUCAAAUUGAUUGCAUAGUUCUUUCUUCUGCUAUGACCUUAAAGGAUGGACAAAACAAAACGAAUCGCCACACGGCCAGUUCCUUCACUCAACAGCCUUGCCGCCAAAGACACUUGCGGCCGCCUAAUCUGCUUCAAACUACCAACACUACACCUCCGCCGCCACAUGGACUAUCGUUAGAUUGAUUUAGUAAUUAGCCUAAAACAAUAUAUGUUGGAUUUUUGCAUUGUAAAAGCCUGAACAGUAGAAUAUUAAAGAUUGGAAAAGAAAAGGAUUGGGGCCUCGGGGAGAUACUGUAUUAAUUAGACUCCGACCUGAUUCCUAACCAUAUACCUGGUGUUUUCUGUGAAAAUUACCUCAAACACACUGGUUGCUGCUCCAAGACGUAGAUGGGCUUCAGAAUAGC
Molecule: long non-coding RNA, 638 nt
Filed under: Triticum aestivum (bread wheat)
Lineage: Eukaryota; Viridiplantae; Streptophyta; Magnoliopsida; Poales; Poaceae
Description: long non-coding RNA (TAES_LNC014136)
Source: RNAcentral